This 80-nucleotide transfer RNA is filed under the name Aeromonas hydrophila. Its description in RNAcentral is "tRNA-Gln". The record is from RNAcentral. Lineage: Bacteria; Pseudomonadati; Pseudomonadota; Gammaproteobacteria; Aeromonadales; Aeromonadaceae.
GUCCCCUUCGUCUAGAGGCUAGGACACCGCCCUUUGCACGGCAGGUAACAGCGGGUUCGAAUCCCGCAUAGGGGACGCCA